UCUUCCCCUCGAAGUCUAUCCUUGAUAUGUUCAUCCUAAUCAGUGACAUAUAUCCUCUUUGUGGUAUUCUAUCCAGCAUUCGAUAGAUGUAAUUCCUACUUUGUUCAAGAGGUUUAUCCUUAAUAUGUUCAUCUUAACCGAUGACGGGUAUCCUCCUUAACAUCCCCAGGCAAAUCUAUCCUUGAUAUAUUCAUCUUAACUGAUGACAAAAUU
This 213-nucleotide long non-coding RNA is filed under the name Lathyrus oleraceus (garden pea). RNAcentral's name for it is "Pisum sativum (pea) long non-coding RNA (PSAT_LNC007524)". The record is from RNAcentral. Lineage: Eukaryota; Viridiplantae; Streptophyta; Magnoliopsida; Fabales; Fabaceae.